GAGCCUAUGGCGCAGCGGUAGCGCAACACGUUUACACCGUGUAGGUCGCCGGUUCGAAUCCGGCUGGGCUCA
This 72-nucleotide transfer RNA is filed under the name Candidatus Woesearchaeota archaeon. RNAcentral describes it as "tRNA-Val". It matches the Rfam family "tRNA". Rfam says of the family: Transfer RNA (tRNA) molecules are approximately 80 nucleotides in length. Their secondary structure includes four short double-helical elements and three loops (D, anti-codon, and T loops). Further hydrogen bonds mediate the characteristic L-shaped molecular structure. tRNAs have two regions of fundamental functional importance: the anti-codon, which is responsible for specific mRNA codon recognition, and the 3' end, to which the tRNAs corresponding amino acid is attached (by aminoacyl-tRNA synthetases). tRNAs cope with the degeneracy of the genetic code in two manners: having more than one tRNA (with a specific anti-codon) for a particular amino acid; and 'wobble' base-pairing, i.e. permitting non-standard base-pairing at the 3rd anti-codon position. The record is from RNAcentral. Lineage: Archaea; Nanobdellati; Candidatus Woesearchaeota.